GACGAACGCUGGCGGCGUGCUUAACACAUGCAAGUCGAACGGAAAGGCCCUGCUUUUGUGGGGUGCUCGAGUGGCGAACGGGUGAGUAACACGUGAGUAACCUGCCCUUGACUUUGGGAUAACUUCAGGAAACUGGGGCUAAUACCGGAUAGGAGCUCCUGCUGCAUGGUGGGGGUUGGAAAGUUUCGGCGGUUGGGGAUGGACUCGCGGCUUAUCAGCUUGUUGGUGGGGUAGUGGCUUACCAAGGCUGUGACGGGUGGCCGGCCUGGGAGGGUGACCGGCGACAUUGGGACUGAGAUACGGCCCAGACUCCUACGGGAGGCAGCAGUGGGGAAUAUUGCACAAUGGGCGGAAGCCUGAUGCAGCAACGCCGCGUGCGGGAUGACGGCCUUCGGGUUGUAAACCGCUUUCGCCUGUGACGAAGCGUGAGUGACGGUAAUGGGUAAAGAAGCACCGGCUAACUACGUG
RNAcentral lists this ribosomal RNA (468 nucleotides) under uncultured bacterium. Its description in RNAcentral is "partial 16S ribosomal RNA". It matches the Rfam family "Bacterial small subunit ribosomal RNA", at positions 28 to 507 of the family's 1533-position model. The record is from RNAcentral.